UGGCUCAGGACGAACGCUGGCGGCGUGCUUAACACAUGCAAGUCGAACGGAAAGGCCCGCUUGCGGGUACUCGAGUGGCGAACGGGUGAGUAACACGUGGGUGAUCUGCCCUGGACUCUGGGAUAAGCCUGGGAAACUGGGUCUAAUACCGGAUAUGACCCUUACAUCGCAUGGUGUUUGGUGGAAAGCUUUUGCGGUUCAGGAUGGGCCCGCGGCCUAUCAGCUUGUUGGUGGGGUAAUGGCCUACCAAGGCGACGACGGGUAGCCGACCUGAGAGGGUGAUCGGCCACACUGGGACUGAGACACGGCCCAGACUCCUACGGGAGGCAGCAGUGGGGAAUAUUGCACAAUGGGCGCAAGCCUGAUGCAGCGACGCCGCGUGAGGGAUGACGGCCUUCGGGUUGUAAACCUCUUUCACCAGGGACGAAGCGCAAGUGACGGUACCUGGAGAAGAAGCACCGGCCAACUACGUGCCAGCAGCCGCGGUAAUACGUAGGGUGCGAGCGUUGUCCGGAAUUACUGGGCGUAAAGAGCUCGUAGGCGGUUUGUCGCGUCGUCUGUGAAAUUCUGCAACUCAAUUGUAGGCGUGCAGGCGAUACGGGCAGACUUGAGUACUACAGGGGAGACUGGAAUUCCUGGUGUAGCGGUGAAAUGCGCAGAUAUCAGGAGGAACACCGGUGGCGAAGGCGGGUCUCUGGGUAGUAACUGACGCUGAGGAGCGAAAGCGUGGGUAGCGAACAGGAUUAGAUACCCUGGUAGUCCACGCCGUAAACGGUGGGUACUAGGUGUGGGGCUCAUUUCACGAGUUCCGUGCCGUAGCUAACGCAUUAA
RNAcentral lists this ribosomal RNA (831 nucleotides) under Gordonia sp. (in: high G+C Gram-positive bacteria). RNAcentral describes it as "bacterial SSU rRNA". It matches the Rfam family "Bacterial small subunit ribosomal RNA", at positions 20 to 863 of the family's 1533-position model. The record is from RNAcentral. Lineage: Bacteria; Bacillati; Actinomycetota; Actinomycetes; Mycobacteriales; Gordoniaceae.